UUAAGUCCCGCAACGAGCGCAACCCUUAUCCUUUGUUGCCAGCGGUCCGGCCGGGAACUCAAAGGAGACUGCCAGUGAUAAACUGGAGGAAGGUGGGGAUGACGUCAAGUCAUCAUGGCCCUUACGAGUAGGGCUACACACGUGCUACAAUGGCGCAUACAAAGAGAAGCGAACUCGCGAGAGCAAGCGGACCUCAUAAAGUGCGUCGUAGUCCGGAUUGGAGUCUGCAACUCGACUCCAUGAAGUCGGAAUCGCUAGUAAUCGUAGAUCAGAAUGCUACGGUGAAUACGUUCCCGGGCCUU
This 302-nucleotide ribosomal RNA is filed under the name uncultured Enterobacteriaceae bacterium. Its description in RNAcentral is "bacterial SSU rRNA". It matches the Rfam family "Bacterial small subunit ribosomal RNA", at positions 1080 to 1382 of the family's 1533-position model. Lineage: Bacteria; Pseudomonadati; Pseudomonadota; Gammaproteobacteria; Enterobacterales; Enterobacteriaceae. The record is from RNAcentral.